GACGGAAGGUGCAAGCGUUGCUCGGAAUCACUGGGCGUAAAGGGUGCGUAGGCGGCCGCGCAAGUCUGGCGUGAAAGCCCCGGGCUCAGCCCGGGAAGGGCGCUCGAAACGGCGCGGCUCGAGUGCCGGAGGGGAGAGUGGAAUUCCUGGUGUAGCGGUGAAAUGCGUAGAUAUCAGGAGGAAUACCGGUGGCGAAGGCGGGCCUCUGGGCAGUAACUGACGCUGAGGAGCGAAAGCGUGGGGAGCGAACAGG
RNAcentral lists this ribosomal RNA (253 nucleotides) under uncultured bacterium. RNAcentral's name for it is "partial 16S ribosomal RNA". It matches the Rfam family "Bacterial small subunit ribosomal RNA", at positions 524 to 776 of the family's 1533-position model. The record is from RNAcentral.